This 163-nucleotide ribosomal RNA is filed under the name uncultured bacterium. RNAcentral's name for it is "partial 16S ribosomal RNA". It matches the Rfam family "Bacterial small subunit ribosomal RNA", at positions 355 to 509 of the family's 1533-position model. The record is from RNAcentral.
UAGGGAAUUUUCGUCAAUGGGCGCAAGGCCUGAACGAGCAAUGCCGCGUGAACGAGGAAGGUCUUCGGAUCGUAAAGUUCUGUUGAAGGGGAAAAAGAGCGGAGAGAGGAAAUGCUUUCUGAUUGAUAUUACCCUUCGAGGAAGUCACGGCUAACUACGUGCC